This 2430-nucleotide small RNA is filed under the name Pan troglodytes (chimpanzee). RNAcentral describes it as "retained intron". Lineage: Eukaryota; Metazoa; Chordata; Mammalia; Primates; Hominidae. The record is from RNAcentral.
CUUUGUCUGCUAUUUUUACUAUGGGAUCCUGCAGGAAAAGAUGUGAGCGACCCCGGGGGCGGGCCGACAUUCUCUCCCCAGCCUGUGACAGGGAUCCCGGGCCUUCUGCCUCUGGACCCGGGCUUUCCUCUUGUCCUCCUGCCCGGCUGUCGCCCUCUUAGCACCCCACUACUUUUGCAGCUAUGGCUGAGCCAACCCAGAAUUCCAGAACUCCAGGAUUAUUUUCUGGAUUCUUCGGACUUGGUUAUUUUCUUUUCUUAGCUGUUUUUCCCCGCUUGGUUCUAAGGGCCUGCGUUUUACAGGCUGAGACUUCUAUCCCUCAAACAGGACCCGAGUCGGCCCCCUUUUGGUACUCCCAGAUGCUUGCAAACAACCUAUUCGUCCUCGGCCUUGGUGCCAUAGCCGAAAUACCGUCUCCUCCUGCCUGGGAACAAGAGGAAAGUAUGGGGAAGGAGCCAAGCAGGAGACGUUCACCUUUGCCUUAACUUUGGUCUUCAUUCAAUGUGUGAUUAAUGCUGUGUUUGCCAAGAUCUGGUGGAUCGUACCCGGAGCUGGCUCUAUGCUGCCUGUUCUAUCUCCUAUCUGGGUGCCAUGGUCUCCAGCAAUUCAGCACUACAGUUUGUCAACUACCCAACUCAGGUGAAACCUCAGGGUGGGAUGACGGUUGGCUCAGAUAUCAUUUGAAAAGGACUAAGAGUUCUUCCCUCAGGUCUGUGAGUUAAAAAAAAAAAAAAAAAAAAAAAAAAAGAUAACGGUCCUGUAAGACAUUAGGAGUGUAUAGAACCAUAGAACUUAGGUUUAGUGGUGGUGGGUUGGGCCAUGAUAGGGCUGCUUUCUGAGGCUGAGGUCUCUGGUGCAGGCCCUGUGCUUACUCAUCUUAAUCAGUGCGGUACCUAGCAUAGUACCUGACACAUCACAGAUGCUCAGAAAUUAUUUGCUGGAUUUAAUUUCAGGUCCUUGGUAAAUCCUGCAAGCCAAUCCCAGGUAAGCAAAGAAGAUGGUCUUCCUCUUCUGUCGUCACUCUUCUAUAGUAAGCUCUCUCUCUGCUACAACUGUGUCCCUCUCGGCUUCAUCAUCCCAUCAUGGCUGUCUCCAGGGAGUUUCCCCCAGCUCUCCCUGCUGCCCAUCCUGUCAUCUGUGUCACUUCUUGUGAUGUUCAUAGGCUGGUAAUCCUUAAUAGGAGCUAAAGGCUGACCUAGCCUGCUUCACUUGGUCAGCCAUUUCUGUGUUGCAUGUGUUUAUAUUGUCAUUAGACAACUUAAUUCCCAUUUUGAUCAUCAGUUUCUUUAUCUCAACUUCUUUUCCUUCUCCACUGUUCCCUACCCUUGUCCUGUCCCUUCCUGGACUUUACACCUUUGUUCUCUACCUCCUCCCUGUCUUAUACUUAACCCUGUUGCUCAAUCCUUAUCUAGGUGCCAGCCUGGCACCCUCCUUUUGUCCUCUCUAAGCCUUCCUUCUCAGUCAUUCUUUUCUCCCUGAGUCUUUUCUUGGUUCCUGGGAGGGAGGGCAUUGGGGUCAUCAAUACCUUAUGGAUGCCUGAAUUUUCCACUCUGUUUUUUCCCUGUAGUCAUGCUCCUUGGGGUGACCCUCUUGAAGAAGAAGUACCCGUUGGCCAAGUACCUGUGUGUGCUGUUAAUUGUGGCUGGAGUGGCCCUUUUCAUGUACAAACCCAAGAAAGUUGUUGGGAUAGAAGAACACACAGUCGGCUAUGGAGAGCUACUCUUGCUAUUAUCGCUGACCCUGGAUGGACUGACUGGUGUUUCCCAGGACCACAUGCGGGCUCAUUACCAAACAGGCUCCAACCACAUGAUGCUGAACAUCAACCUUUGGUCGACAUUGCUGCUGGGAAUGGGAAUCCUGUUCACUGGGGAGCUCUGGGAGUUCUUGAGCUUUGCUGAAAGGUACCCUGCCAUCAUCUAUAACAUCCUGCUCUUUGGGCUGACCAGUGCCCUGGGUCAGAGCUUCAUCUUUAUGACGGUUGUGUAUUUUGGUCCCCUGACCUGCUCCAUCAUCACUACAACUCGAAAGUUCUUCACAAUUUUGGCCUCUGUGAUCCUCUUCGCCAAUCCCAUCAGCCCCAUGCAGUGGGUGGGCACUGUGCUUGUGUUCCUGGCGAUGGGGUCUUGCUGUGUUGCCUAGGCUGGCCUUAAACUCCUGGGCUCAAAUGAUCCUCCUGCCUCAGUCUCCCAAAAUGCUGGGAUUGCAGGUCUUGGUCUUGAUGCCAAGUUUGGGAAAGGAGCUAAGAAGACAUCCCACUAGGAAGAGAGAGACUACCUCCACAUCAAGAAUAUUUAAGUUAUUAUCUCAAACAGUGACAUCUCUUGGGAAAAUUGACUUAAUAGGAAUAUGGGACUGAGUUCCAGUCUUUUUUAAUAAAAUAAAAUCAAGCAAAAUCACAUAUUCUAAAAAAUGCACUUGGAUUUUAACAAG